Molecule: ribosomal RNA, 404 nt
Filed under: Fusobacteriota bacterium
Lineage: Bacteria; Fusobacteriati; Fusobacteriota
Description: Fusobacteria bacterium partial 16S ribosomal RNA
Rfam family: Bacterial small subunit ribosomal RNA
Source: RNAcentral
UGGGGAAUAUUGCACAAUGGAGGGAACUCUGAUGCAGCGACGCCGCGUGAGUGAUGAAGGACUUCGUUUCGUAAAACUCUGUUCUAUGGGAAGAAAAGGACUGUACCAUAGGAGAAAGCUCCGGCUAAAUACGUGCCAGCAGCCGCGGUAAUACGUAUGGAGCGAGCGUUGUCCGGAAUUAUUGGGCGUAAAGGGUGCGCAGGCGGCUUUACAAGUUGGAUGUGAAAUAUUGUGGCUCAACCACAAACGUGCAUCCAAAACUGCAAAGCUUGAGUUAAGGAGAGGUAAGUGGAAUUCCUGGUGUAGGGGUGGAAUGCGUAGAUAUCAGGAGGAAUACCGGUGGCGAAGGCGACUUACGGGACUUAAACUGACGCUCAGGCACGAAAGCGUGGGGAGCAAACAGG